Lingula anatina is the source of this 417-nucleotide long non-coding RNA. The record is from RefSeq and is a predicted model, not a curated record. Lineage: Eukaryota; Metazoa; Brachiopoda; Lingulata; Lingulida; Lingulidae.
AGAAAGCCGUUUGAAAACACCUCUUUGCAAACGCACUGCACAGCUCUUCAACUUCGAAGAAUUUUAACAUGGCAGACAGAUCAGGAAUCGGGUUAUUUACCACCCCUCAAAGCCAAAGCGCCGCUUAUAUUAACGCAACAUAUGAAACGUCGUCGGAGGUUGAUCUUGCUCCAGAGGAGACACCAAGUGUUUACGAGAGUUUAAGAAUGCCUCGUCCAACCAACAAUGACAAUGAUCCCAAUAUCAGGAUAACACAGCCACCAAAGACAAAAGUCAAUAGACGGUUACAAAUAGCAUUGGUGUCAGUGGGAAUCAUAUGCGCUGCACUGGUUGCUACUGUUGUAUGGUUGCUUGUGCAUACCCAAAAGGAAAAAAGUGAGCAACUCACCCAUGAUUUUUAGGUUUGGUUUCAGCAAA